Molecule: long non-coding RNA, 2900 nt
Filed under: Betula platyphylla (Asian white birch)
Lineage: Eukaryota; Viridiplantae; Streptophyta; Magnoliopsida; Fagales; Betulaceae
Source: RNAcentral
UGAUCUGCGAAUUCAUUUUCUAUGAAUUAAUAUCUAUAGGAUGUAAAAAAAUUAAUUUUAAUAUCUAUAGGUUCUGGGAGGAGAUCCUGAGCGGCACGAGCAAGCGAGAGGACGAGAGGUGAGAGAGCUCUGCGUUUAGGGUUUGUGAAAGUCCCACAGAGAUUUCCCAAAAGGGGGCAGAGAGAGUGAGAGAUUUAGAGAGACGAGAGAGAGAUUGUCUUUUUGUGUGUGGUCUAGGGUUUCUCGCUUCUCUUUUGUUACACCGAAGCCAUCUCCGACUCUCUCAUGGACCGAAAGCUUGUGGUUAGCUCUUUUUUUUUUUCUUUUCUUUUUUGAAUUUUAUUAACGGUGUAGAUGAUCAGCACAGGUUUUUCUCAAUCUGUCUCUGAUUAUGACUUCUCGAUUACUAAUUUUUAUUAAAAUACUCUGGGGCUUUCGAUCUAUAUUUUCUUUUUAUUAUUGCUCUUACACAUGCCUCUCACCAGGUGUUUUUACAGUUUGUCUAUGUAAAGUUGUUUGCCUAAGUUAUAGUUCCCUUACAUAAAUUUUUAUUGCGUGUUUCGUAUCACAUCAUUGUCGAUUUUUGAUGGUUACUAGAGAUCUUUUGUGCUUACGCAUGUGUCUCUGUACUUCCUCAUUUACUCGGUAUUAUCUCAUGAAGACAUUAAUAUAUACUACUUUCUGUCCUUUGUUUUGUGCCAUAAAAUUUUUGUAGUCAACAUUCACCUGGUUGGAGCAUGUUUGAACAUCUAUUGAAACUGAUUAAAUUAUAACUGUUUGUGAAUGUGGACUAUAAUUGUUAGCUUGGACUAUGAGACCAGUUGGAAGUCAUAAUUAGAAGUUCUCUCAAUAAGUUGAAGCAGCUUCGGCACCAAAUAAAUCUUGAAAAUUGAUCCCGUGUCAUUAGUUUUGAAAAUUAAACAGAGAAAAAAGAAAGAAUAGCCUUUUCUUUCCAUGAACCUAUGCUUCUGUAUAGAACAUGCUUGGAUAUAAAUCAAAUAUUUGAUGCCAGAACUCAUUCUUAUAAAGUUAUAUUGCAAGGUGUUAAUUUGAUGUCCUGGAAGCUCAUCCCUGCCACGACAUGUGUAGUCUACUUAGUUUUCUUAAUUAAUAGCCUAAAUUAGUUGCUGCCUGUUUUAGUUUUUGUUAUUUUUUUCUUACAUGUCACUGGAAAUUCUAUUAGUGUACUUGAUUUUAUUUGUUUUUUGUCUCCACGAAGGUGUCGUUUUCUUUUAGUUGGUCUAUCAUAAUUUUUGAUGUCUUAUUUUGUUUGCAAUUUUUUAAUUACAAAAUGGAUAAACUUUGUGGGGUUUAAUGAAAGUUUAUAGGGCUCUUAAAAAAUAUAUUUUUAGGAGGUUUUAAGAAAAUGUCCGACUUGGGUUCUGUUUGUUUGUUUUGCUUGUAUUUUGAUGCUAUUUUGUCUGUGUUUAUUUCGUGGUUUAGUUCACGCAUGUAUUUGGGAAUAUAGAGAGACAGGGUUUUUGGUUUUGGAAAUUUAACAUGUUUUGGUAUAACUUUCUAGGAUAGUGUUGUGUGGUAAUUCGUUUUUGUGUAUCAUAUUUUCUGGGUUUAUGCAUCUUAAACAAUUGCUUGAUUCAUAAACUACCCUCUUUUAACAUUAUUGCAGAAAAUUAAUUAAUCAAAGGGCAUCCUUGUCCCUUGCUCCUAUACAAUGCAACUUUUUGCUUUUUAUUGUUUGCUUUGGUAUGUUAAAUAUUGUGUUGGGAAUAUAACCUUCGAAGUGAACUCAAUGUGUUCAAUAAAAUUGUUUUCUUCUUUAUAUAUAAAAUAUCAAUAAAUGGGAACCAGACAUUGAGUGGUCAAACAUCUUACUUUAAUUAAUUUUAAUAUGCUUAUACAAUGAGGUUUGUAUAUCUUUCAUUUUUUGUAUUGUCACUGAGCAAAGGUCUGUCGUCUUUGAUUGAAACCGAAAUUGAUCAUGUUUGUUAGAUUUGAGAUAGCCAGUCUUGAUGGCCAUGCUAGGUCUUUUAUUUUCCUCACUUUCUUUUCUUUUCUUUUCUGUUCUUUUUCUUUUAUGGUGAAUUAGUUGAUUUCAUAUUAAUGUGCUUAAGUCUUUGGAAACAUGUAGUUUUAAUUUUUAAUUUUGGGGAAUAUGGUUUUGUACUAUGCGAAUAAGAUCUCUUCUUGUAAGUUCCCAUCCUCUUCCAUCAACUUUGUUGUUUUUGAACCCAAUAAUUUUUUAUUACAAAUUUCUGCAGAAUUUUUUAUUUUAUUUUAUUUUAUUGUGCUUUUAAAUUAUGAGAGCCACCUUGACUAGAAUAAAAGAGUUGGCUUAUGAAUAAAUAAUAGUGACAUAUAUGAUUUGUAUGAAAUUUCUCAAAUUCGAAGUCAAAACUGAGGGGAUGUUGUGCGAUUAAAGAGGUCUUUAUAUGUACAUAAAUAAAAGGUAACAUCUUUUUUAAUGCUAACAAAUUGUAUCGCUUAUUGUGAGGUGUUUAUAAGGAUUUGUUGUUGAUUUUUGUUUGUUUUGUAAUUGAUUUGUAUUAGCAUUUUAGCUAUUGGAAGUGUGAAAAGAGAUAUAUAGAUGCUUAGAUCUGAUGAAUUUAGUUUGAUGGCAAGAGAAAAAUACGACUUGCAGUUUUGAAUUUUGAUGAAGAUUGUUUCUGGGUAGAUUAUGUUUUCUAACAGGCUGAUUGGGAGAUUUAAGACCGAAGAAAGCAGUUCGUGAAUUGGUGACUUGCAAUGAAAUUGGGGAGAAGAGGGACUUGCACAAAAUGGCCCAUUAACUGGACAAUAUGAUAGUUAACUUGGUGAUGGCUUUUCAAAUUCAUGCUCGAUUUGCUGGUAAUAAUUGACAGAAGAAGCUCCGAUUCCUUCUACCACCAUCACUUUUUGGACUCGUGUUCUUUAGUGUGUACUCACAUUCUUAUGCAAUGAGU